UUUUUUUUUUUUUUGGGGGGGGGGUAUUUGCCUUUGUUUUAUUGUUAUAAAGUGUCUCUGUACCAGACCUCAGCCUGAGGUGUAAACUUCAUGUCUUCCCAGGUCUUUCUGAGGCUGAGCUGCUCCCUAGGCACGCACAAUGACUUUCUAAAUUCCCUUGUAUGUGUGGUCACUUUUGAAUGACCUAGUCCUUAAAUGUCUGAAUCUCAAAAUGAGGAAAAGAGAUAAAGGGGGAAGGGAGUGCCAGCUCCUUAAAUCUCCUGGAAGCCACUUCAGCUGUAGGGCAAAGGGCUUGAAACAAUGGGAGAGGUGCACCAACGGAGGCUGCUCCUGUGUCUGUACUUUCAGAAGCAGCAAGCAGAAAACAGAGUCCUGAUCUUUGGAGAACAGGGUCUUUAUUCCUCACCUUGGCUCAACUAGCUUUUUAGCUGCUCCUGGAACAAAUGCAUAACUGACUGUCAUUGAGUUGAAGAUGGGGGAUAGGUAACCACUGCUGAAACUGACCAAAACUAACUGCAUUUUCCCAUUCAAGUCUUCUUCAGGAAGUUGCAAGUCUUUGAAUAAACUACACAGAGUUCCAACAUAAUUAAAUCAAUCAGAUUCUGCCAAGACAAUUGUCUAAGCAGAAGACAGAUUUCUGGUGCUUUCUACUCUGUUAUCUUCCUCAAAUCUCAUCACUCUUUUUCUAUCACUGAAUUCCACUUACUAAUGUUUCACUGAGGACUUCUGCAUCUGAAUUCAUGAGCUAUAUUAUUUUGCCAUUUUCCUUUUUUGGAUGGACUUUGUAUGGUUCGGGUAUCAGUAGAAUCCUGGCCUCAUAAAAUCAGUUGGGAAAUCCCUCCUUUUCCUUUUUCUGUCAGAUGUUUAGAAUUUGCUCUGUUAUAUUUGGUGGAAUUCUCCACUGAAAACAUUUGAUGCUUGUUUGGACAUUUUAAUAUUAAAAAUUCAAUUUCUUUAAUAUUUACAGAACUAUACAAAUUAUCUUUCAUAUUGGAUGACUUCUAGAAAUUAGUCCAUUUGUCAAAUUUAUUAUUUUUUUUUAAUUUUUAUUUAUUUGUGAUAGUCACAGAGAGAGAGAGAGAAUGAGGCAGAGACACAGGCAAAGGUUGAGAAGCAGACACCCCACAGGGAACCCGACAUGGGACUCAAUCCCAAACCUCAGGAUCAUGCCCUGAGCCAAAGGCAGAUGCUCAACCACUGUGCUACCCAGGUGUCCCCACCAUCUGCAUUUUAUUUCUUUUCCUCCUUUAUAGAAAUGGCUAGAACAUCCAGUACAACAUUGGAUAGUAGUGAGGUUAUAGGAUGAUCUUGGGGAGGGGGGUCCUGGACUGAGGGGCUUAGUUUUUCACUAGCUGUUGCCAAAAGGCCUCUCUCAGUUCCUUCGCACAGGGGCCUGUCCAUAGGGCACCGCACAAUAUGGCAGCUGACUUCCGUCAGAGUGAGGAAGCAAGGAAGCAAGAGGAGACAGCAAGAGAGGUUGCCCAAGAUGGAAACCAGUCUUUUUUUUUUUACCCUAAUCUCAGAAAUGACAUCCCAUCACCUUUCCUGUUCAUUAGAAACAUCACUAAAUCUGGCUCACACUCAAGGAGAGGAGAUUACACACGGGCCUGAAUACCAGGAGGUGGGACUUGUUAGGGGCCAUUUACCAACUCCCUACAACAAGCUCUCAAUGGCCAAAUCAGGGACAUUUUGAGCAACGUAAUGACACUAACGGGUGAAGCCAAUAGAAUAAAAAUCUAUGAGUCCAUACUGAUAUAAACAAAAAUCUGAAAACAUAAAUUUAAACACUGGGGACAAAAGGGGUGCCUGGCUGGCUCAGUCAGUGAAGCAUACAACUCUUGAUCUCAGGGUCAUGAGUUUAAGCCCCAUGCUGGGUGUAGGAAUUACUUUAAAAUUAAAAAAAGCAUUUAGAAAAUAAUAAGUAAAUAAAUAGUAAAACCGGAGGAGAAAAGACAGCUCUUCCUUACAGCAGCAUUCCACUUAAUAAAUGUAGAAAGAGAACUAGAACUAAAAGCAUAGGUAAACACCACAGUAAUAACUGCUGUAGGCAAGACUGUAAUCUAAAAUUAGUGGAUGGAAGUAGGUAAAUAUACUUCCACACAGUCUCAGCAUUUCUCCCCACAAACUACUUGUUAAUUUAAAAAGAAAAAAAAUUAACUUUAGUUAAAAUAUCAGCCUAACAAACUGAUCAGACUUAAAUUAGUAGUAACACUUA
This 2215-nucleotide long non-coding RNA is filed under the name Canis lupus familiaris (dog). RNAcentral's name for it is "lncRNA (ENSCAFG00000057732.1)". The record is from RNAcentral. Lineage: Eukaryota; Metazoa; Chordata; Mammalia; Carnivora; Canidae.